Molecule: long non-coding RNA, 2095 nt
Filed under: Homo sapiens (human)
Lineage: Eukaryota; Metazoa; Chordata; Mammalia; Primates; Hominidae
Description: non-protein coding lnc-CACNA1E-5:2
Source: RNAcentral
AAACUUAGUUGUUCAUAUGAGAAGUAUAAUAUCAAUGAGAAAUCAGAAAUAAUAUACUGCCAUGUUUUAUCUUUGAUGAUUGAAUAUUUAGCAAGCACUCCUUCUGUUUUUAAAAAAACUGGAAUAGUAUAGUAUAUCUCUGUAAAACUCUCCUAGUACUAAACCAACAUGCAACUUUUAUCCCAUUCUCAACUCUCCUGUUUUUCCUUCCACCAAGUUUUUGCUCUUCUCCCCUUCUCAGGGGAGAAGAAUUGCUAAUCCAGUUGGGUUUCAAGUUACUGAUUGGACCACAUUUCUUAGUGGGUGCUUCCUUCUUUUUUCAGUGCCAUGUAGAUACUCUCUCUUCCAUUUCCUUUUUCUUUACAGCUAAUGAACUGCCUCCUCACAGAUGACUAGCCAUCUUGUUCUCUCUCUGUUACUCCUUUUCACUUAAGUGGGUAAGCUGAUUUAGAACUUCCUGCUUCAGGACAGGCGCGGUGGCUCACGCCUGUAAUCCCAGUACUUUGGCAGGCCGAGGUAGGCGGAUCACGAGGUCAGGACUUUUUUUUUUUUUUUUUUUUGAGACGGAGUCUCGCUCUGCCCCCCCAGGCUGGAGUGCAGUGGCGUGAUCUCGGCUCACUGCAAGCUCCGCCUCCCAUGGACCACAUUUCUUAGUGGGUGCUUCCUUCUUUUUUCAGUGCCAUGUAGAUACUCUCUCUUCCAUUUCCUUUUUCUUUACAGCUAAUGAACUGCCUCCUCACAGAUGACUAGCCAUCUUGUUCUCUCUCUGUUACUCCUUUUCACUUAAGUGGGUAAGCUGAUUUAGAACUUCCUGCUUCAGGACAGGCGCGGUGGCUCACGCCUGUAAUCCCAGUACUUUGGCAGGCCGAGGUAGGCGGAUCACGAGGUCAGGACUUUUUUUUUUUUUUUUUUUUGAGACGGAGUCUCGCUCUGCCCCCCCAGGCUGGAGUGCAGUGGCGUGAUCUCGGCUCACUGCAAGCUCCGCCUCCCAGGUUCACGCCAUUCUCCUGCCUCAGCCUCCCGAGUAGCUGGGACUACGGGCACCCACCACCAUGCCUGGCUAAUUUUUUUUUUUUUUUUUUUUUUUUUUUGUAUUUUUAGUAGAGACGGGGUUUCACUGUGUUAGCCAGGAUGGUCUCGAUCUCCGAGGUCAGGAAUUUGAGACCAGCCUGCCCAACAUGGCGAAACCCCGUCUCUACUAAAAAUACAAAAAAUUAGCCGGGCAUGGUGGCAGGCACCUGUAAUCCCAGCUACUUGGGAGGCUGAGGCAGGAGAAUUGCUUGAACCCAGGAGGCGGAGGUUGCAGUGAGCCACGCCACUGCACUCCAGCGUGGGUGACAAGAGCGAAACUCCGUUUCAAACAAACAAAAAAAAAGAACUUCCUGCUUCAAAACACUCCUUGCCAUCUUGUACUAUCUUCCUCAUUCAUACACAAAGUAAAAAUCCUUGGCUUGAUCUCCAACAUGCCACUGACUAGAAAGUGGAAAUCCCAAGAUCUGCAUGUUUAGGGAAAAACAGAGAGAUCUGACGUGACCUUUAGGUUAGGCUACAUGUCCCUACCUAGGUUUACUGGGGCACUAGACAUAUAUUUAGCUAGGACUCUCAGAUGCAAGUGAACAAAUCUAAUAGGAAGUACCUUAGGGGGUGGGGGAAAUUUUAUUGGCUCAUAUAAUCAAAUAAUGCAAAGGGCGGGAAUGUAGCUAUUCUUGGAGACUUACUAGAACUGAAUUAUUUACCAUUUGGACUUUAUAUCUUGCCUCUGCUUUCCUCAGCAAGACGGCCUCCUCUCAGACCAGCAUCCUCUAGAAGAUUGGAGUCAUGGGCACUGGCAUCUUUCCGCUUCAACUUCAGGUAAAAGAGUCUUUUUUCUUAAUUUCUAUUUGGAAAAUCUCAAAAGGAUCCUGAAUGACCACAGUUACAUAAUCUGCCCAUCCCUGGCAGAGCUGGGUAAAGAAAUAGUUCCCAAAAAGAAGUAGGGAAUGCUGUCAGCAGGAGAAGGGAGGGGUUCUAGAGACACAAAACAAAAAGUACACAUUACUGUAAUUAUCAAAUACUAGCCCAACUAACAACAAAGUCCUUCUGUAUUACUUUGUUC